Molecule: small nucleolar RNA, 107 nt
Organism: Dioscorea cayenensis subsp. rotundata (Guinea yam)
Lineage: Eukaryota; Viridiplantae; Streptophyta; Magnoliopsida; Dioscoreales; Dioscoreaceae
Source: RefSeq, a predicted model, not a curated record
AAACCAUACUGUGGACACUUCCAUAAGAGGUUCUUGAAUCGCUCAAAUGUCUCAAACAAGGAUUCAAGCUCCAUCUGAACAAACAAUGAUAUUUCAUUACGAAGCUU